RNAcentral lists this unclassified non-coding RNA (6991 nucleotides) under Penaeus japonicus. Its description in RNAcentral is "muscle calcium channel subunit alpha-1-like, transcript variant X35". The record is from RNAcentral. Lineage: Eukaryota; Metazoa; Arthropoda; Malacostraca; Decapoda; Penaeidae.
CCGAGACCUACGAACGGUGGCGUUGGUGGCUUAGUCAACGCCUCCUCCGCCGCCACCGCCAUCGCUGAUAAGAGGGCCUGGGAUCGCCGCCCCCGCUGCCUCGCGCCCCCGACUCACGCCGAGCCCCGAUUACUCAUAACCUGCAAGUACUGUGGAGGCGUCGGCCGGUGAGGGAGAGGAAGUCAGCCCCGCCAGGAGCGCGUGCGACUGCGACGGAGAGACGUGCGGAGGCGGCCCUUACUUCGCGUGUGGCAUUACUGGGGUGCCCAGCGAGCCCGCCCAUCUGGCCCACCGCGGGAAACACUGGGACGUGGGAGUGUCUCCGCUCUAGAGAAAACCCUCCUCUCCCUCUUUCUCUGUCUCCCUCUCUCUCUCCCUCUCUCUCUCUCUCUCUCUCUCUCUUACUCUGGCGGUGACGAGGGGGAGGCUGCGACCACAUUUUACGUCCCUCUACUCCGGGCUCCGUGGUGCUGCGGCAGUGUUCCCUGCAGAGUGCGAAGUGUUCAGUGAGAAAUAGAAGCUUGCAGGAAAAGUGUAUUUUUUUUGUGGCUUGAUCUAUCCCCUUUUCGGUCCUGUCUCGAGUGAUCGUCGUCAUCGAUAAGACGAGCGAAAUAGUGGUGUUGGAGUGGUAAAAAAAAAAAAAAAAUCUGUGUCGCAGGCUACCGUCCUCGUAGGCCUGCCUGCUUGUCCUAUCCCCGAGGAGGUCCAGAGGGGGAUCUAGAGCCACCAGGAAGUACUGCCGGAGGAACCACCAUGGCUUGGGUCAGAGGACUCUGAGGUGACAGCUUGGGGGGAGAGAGAGAGUGUCACGAUGCCCGUGCAGAAGUUCCGGGCGCGUAUGAAGAGGCAGAAGUACGACCCUGAAACGGAUCCUGACAUGAUUGACGAGUACGGCGAGUAUUUUGCGAAAGCAGCCGACGAGGAGCAGGACGAAGGGAGUGAAGAGCCUAUAAACUAUGCGGAACCUAUAAACUAUGGACAGUUUUCUAUAGCUCAAGGAGUCCGUGCAGGUGGUGAAGUUGGGGCGUCGGUGGGGUCAGCCUCGGGAGGGGAGAAGCCCUUGUCCUCGGCGUGGCAGGCAGCACUAAGCGGAGCCACAUCCAUGUCGCAGGGCCAGGUAGCCGCCGCAACGGACGCCACCCCGCACGAGGGACGGAAGCGGCCGCCCCCUCGUCGGCCCGUGGGUAAACCUCCGGAGAACCGGCCCGUCCGCGCCCUCUUCUGCCUGGGCCUCAAGAAUCCUCUGAGGAAGAUCUGCAUAGACGUCGUAGAAUGGAAACCCUUCGAAUGGUUCAUCUUGUUAACCAUCUUUGCCAAUUGUGUGGCUCUGGCGGUCUACACGCCUUACCCCAAUUCAGACUCCAAUGCCACCAACGCUAAACUGGAACAAAUCGAGAUUAUCUUUAUGGUAAUAUUUACGGUAGAAUGUUUUAUGAAGAUUAUAGCCUACGGGUUCGCCCUCCACCAGGGGGCGUAUAUACGUUCAGUAUGGAACUUUCUCGAUUUUCUCAUCGUCGUCAUUGGUUUGAUAAGCGGCGCACUAGAUUUCCUCAUGCAGGGGGAGGGCGGCGAAGCAGGCUUCGACGUCAAGGCGCUCAGGGCCUUCCGAGUCCUGCGUCCUCUCAGACUUGUGUCAGGAGUCCCAAGUCUACAGGUGGUGUUGAACUCCAUCGUGAAGGCUAUGGUCCCGUUGCUCAACAUUGCUCUUCUCGUCAUGUUUGUCAUUAUCAUUUACGCUAUCAUCGGUCUGGAGCUUUUCUCCGGAGCGCUUCAUUUUACCUGCUAUAAUAAUGAAACAGGUAACCGCAUGGAGAACCCUCAUCCAUGUGACAAUGGGACGGCGGGAUUCAGCUGUUCCGAUCUCAAUAAAGACGGCCAAUUUUAUGUGUGUCGGGACGGCUGGGAAGGACCCAACUAUGGCAUUACGAACUUCGAUAAUUUUGGCCUCGCAAUGUUAACGGUGUUCCAGUGUAUAACUAUGGAGGGCUGGACGGAUAUGAUGUAUUAUAUUGCAGAUGCCAUGGGUAAUAGUUGGCAGUGGAUCUUCUUUGUAUCCAUGAUCAUCCUCGGGGCCUUCUUCGUCAUGAACCUUAUUCUUGGUGUCCUCAGCGGAGAAUUCACAAAGGAAAGAGAAAAAGCCAAAGCCCGUGGAGACUUCAGAAAACUUCGGGAAAAGCAGCAGAUUGAGGAAGACUUAAGAGGGUACUUGGAGUGGAUCACCCAUGCCGAGGACCUAGACCUGGAGGAAAAGGAGGACAAAAAGGAGUGUGACGACGGGCGCCGAUUAGUUCUGCCGGGAGCCAGCAACCGCGGAGCCAUGUCGGUGGCCUCCCCAACCUCCCUUCUGCUCUUCUUGCCCCUCUUCUCUAUGCGUAACUCCAAAACCGUAGAAGCUGACAUAGAUAAGGGUGAAGAAAAUGAUGAAAACCAACAGCCAUCUUGGUGGCAGAAAAAGAAGAAGGGCUUUGACCGCUUCGUGAAAGGGAUGGUAGGUGUCAAUCGGAGAUGCAGGCGGGCGUGCCGAAAAGCUGUAAAAUCGCAAGCAUUUUACUGGCUCAUCAUUGUUCUUGUCUUCCUCAAUACUGCAGUCCUGGCCAGUGAGCACUAUCGGCAACCUGACUGGCUUAGCAAGUUCCAAGAUUAUACCAAUCAUUUCUUCGUGGUGCUGUUUACAUGUGAAAUGUUGUUAAAGAUGUACAGUUUAGGCUUCCAAGGCUACUUUGUGUCUUUGUUCAAUCGUUUUGAUUGUUUUGUGGUGAUCAGCAGCAUCACCGAGGUAGUUCUCACAUCCACUGAGAUUAUGCCUCCACUGGGUGUCUCGGUGCUCAGAUGUGUCCGUCUACUCAGAGUAUUCAAAGUGACAAAAUAUUGGCGGUCGCUCUCCAACCUGGUUGCUUCCCUCCUAAACUCCAUCCAGUCCAUCGCCUCCCUGCUGCUCCUGCUCUUCCUCUUUAUUAUUAUCUUUGCUCUUCUGGGCAUGCAAGUCUUCGGUGGCCGCUUUAAUUUUAACCCAAUGGAGGACAAACCGCGGCAUAAUUUUGACAACUUCGUUCAGGCCAUGUUGACAGUGUUCCAGAUCCUGACAGGUGAGGAUUGGAACGUCGUGAUGUAUGACGGUAUUCGUGCCUAUGGUGGAGUGGCCACUCCUGGUAUCAUCGCCUGUUUCUACUUCAUCAUUCUUUUCAUCUGUGGUAACUACAUCUUGCUCAAUGUCUUCUUGGCUAUCGCUGUCGACAACUUGGCUGAUGCUGAUGCUCUUGGUGAUGCUGAAGAGGAAGAAGGCAAAGAAGGAGAGGAAGGUGAAGGUGGAGGCGGUGAAGAAGGUGAAAAGAUAGAGGAAGAAGGAAUUGAAGGUGAAGAAAAGACAGCAUUAAAUCACAUAGCUUUGAGGGAUGGUGAUGCUGCCAGUCAUGCAAAAGUACAGAUAGAGCAUGACCAAAUACCAGAAGAAGGAAAAUAUGAUGAUUAUGAAAAUGAAGCUGAAAUGGAAGAAGAGGAGGAAGAAGUGGAAGAGGAGAGCGAGGAACAUCCACCAGGAGCCAGACCACGGCGUGCAUCACAGCUCAGUACUGCCACCAAAAUCAAGCCAUUGCCCCCGUUCUCCAGUUUUUUUAUUUUCUCCCACACAAACAGGUUUCGAGUUUUUUGCCACAAGAUUUGCAACCACAGCCUCUUCAGCAAUGUCAUUCUGGUUUGCAUUCUCAUAUCAUCCGGCAUGUUGGCUGCUGAGGACCCUCUCCGCUCUGAUUCUCAGCGCAACGUUAUUCUGAACUACUUCGACAUCUUCUUCACAUCAGUGUUCACAGUGGAGAUUUGCCUAAAAGUUAUAUCAUAUGGCUUUAUUCUUCACAAAGGAGCCUUUCUACGCUCUGCCUUCAAUGGUUUGGACCUGUUGGUCGUGGCCGUCUCCCUCAUCUCCUUUUCCUUCAAUAAAGUCCUUCAGCCUGCGAACCGUGACCAGACGUUUCUUAGAUGCGGCAACACUGUUUACCGCCUUGAGGAGGACACGGUAUAUGUGGUUGGCAGCAAUGAUGAUGAGAGUGUUUGGAGUGACCCUAACAUAAUUGAUGUUGAGGGUCUCUCCUACUCUUGUAACAGUACAACCACAGAUGUGUCCCAGAAGUUGAAAGAAUAUUUGCUUGCCACUUGGCAACAUCUGAGAGUGAGUCCCGCACAAAAUUAUGAUCCUGUGCUCAGGGAUGGAGCUAUCUCGGUGGUCAAGAUCCUCCGUGUGCUCCGUGUGCUGAGGCCACUCAGGGCCAUCAACAGGGCCAAGGGUUUGAAGCAUGUAGUUCAGUGCGUCAUUGUGGCCAUUAAGACCAUCGGCAACAUCAUGCUGGUCACCUGUCUCCUAGAAUUCAUGUUCGCUGUAAUUGGAGUUCAGUUGUUCAAGGGCAAGUUCUUCAGUUGCAAUGAUAUUUCCAAAUCAGUCGAGGAGGAGUGUCAGGGCCAAUACAUUGUCUAUCAGGAUGGAGACAUUAACAAACCCAUGGUGGAAAAGAGAGUUUGGGAGAAGAACUCGUUCCACUUCGACAAUGUGGCCAAGGCAAUGCUGACCCUCUUCACGGUAUCUACCUUUGAGGGGUGGCCCGGGUUGCUGUAUGUUUCCAUCGACUCCAACACAGAGGAUGUGGGUCCUGUACAUAACUACCGACCUAUGGUAGCAAUCUACUAUAUCAUCUACAUCAUUAUCAUUGCCUUCUUCAUGGUUAACAUCUUCGUUGGUUUUGUUAUUGUCACCUUCCAGAGCGAGGGAGAGCAAGAGUACAAGAACUGUUGUCUAGAUAAAAAUCAGAGGAAUUGUAUAGAGUUUGCACUGAAGGCCAAGCCCGUGCGGCGUUACAUUCCCAAGAACAGAUUCCAGUACAAGAUCUGGUGGUUUGUGACAUCACAGCCAUUUGAAUACGCAAUCUUCACUUUAAUCAUGCUGAACACGGUCUCCCUCGCUAUGAAGUUCCGCGGGGAGCCAGAGGCCUACACCCAUGCCCUUGAUAUUCUCAAUCUCAUCUUCACAGCUGUCUUUGCCCUUGAGUUUGUCCUCAAGAUUAUGGCAUUCCGAUUCAAGUAUUACUUUGGCGACGCGUGGAAUGUGUUUGAUUUCAUCAUUGUGCUUGGCAGCUUCAUUGAUAUCGUCUACUCAGAGGUCAAUAAACUAGUGAGCAAUCAGGCGCAGGCAGCGGCAGAGAGCAUGGCCGCCGAAUACUACCCGGACAGAAAGCAAGAGAACCCACCGGAUUGGCCGGGCUCCAAUCUCUUCUCUAUCAACUUCUUCCGACUCUUCCGUGUGAUGCGUCUGGUGAAGUUGUUAUCAAAGGGUGAAGGCAUCAGAACGUUGCUGUGGACCUUCAUCAAGAGCUUCCAGGCACUGCCCUACGUUGCCCUCCUCAUCUUGCUGCUCUUCUUCAUUUACGGUGUUGUUGGCAUGCAGGUGUUUGGCAAAAUUGCACUGGACUGGGGCACUCAGAUCCACCGUCAUAACAACUUCCAGAGCUUCUUCCAGGCAGUAAUGGUUCUCUUCAGGUCUGCCACAGGAGAGGCAUGGCAGGAUAUCAUGUUGUCGUGCCUCCCACCUGAUGCUCGGUGUGACAUGCAGUCCGACGAUUACAGCGAUGAUAUUUCUUGUGGCUCUAAUGUGGCAUACCCAUACUUCAUUUCCUUCUACACCCUUUGCUCUUUCUUGAUCAUCAACUUGUUCGUGGCUGUCAUCAUGGAUAACUUUGACUACCUAACUCGUGAUUGGUCCAUUCUUGGCCCUCACCAUCUGGACGAGUUUAUUACUCUAUGGUCAGAGUACGACCCUGAUGCAAAGGGCAGAAUUAAGCAUCUAGACGUUGUUACACUUCUCAGAAAGAUAUCACCUCCCUUAGGCUUUGGAAAACUUUGUCCAUACAGAGUAGCAUGUAAACGUUUAGUGGCCAUGAACAUGCCGUUGAAUACAGAUGGUACAGUUAUGUUCAAUGCAACAUUAUUUGCCCUAGUAAGAACAUCUUUAAGGAUAAAAACUGAGGGCAAUAUUGAUACUGCCAAUGAGGAAUUAAGAGCAGUUAUCAAGAAAAUCUGGAAGCGUACAAAUCCUAAACUUCUAGACCAAGUCGUACCACCAGUUGGAGUUGAAGACGAUGUGACAGUUGGCAAAUUCUACGCUACCUACCUCAUCCAGGACUACUUUAGACGCUUUAAGAAGAAGAAGAUGGAGAUCAAAGAACAAAUUGAUAAGGAGUCUUCAAACACUGUCACACUUCAGGCUGGCCUGAGAACACUUCAUGAGGCUGGGCCCGAGUUGAAGCGUGCCAUCUCAGGCAACUUAGAUGAGAUGCGUGAUGAUGAUAUUCCCACGCAUAGGCGUAACCACUCCUUGUUCGGCUCGGUCUGGUCAUCUAUGAGAGUCAAAAGCCUGCAACGAACCCGGUCCCUCCGUGUCAACACCGGACACCACGCUAAAGCGGGUAAUAUCUUGCAUCCUGUAAUUCUGAAAGUCAACAACCAGAUUAUGAACAUGAUUUCUCCAACCAACUCACUCUCAUACUCUCCUGCACAUUCAAAUGAGAAAACUGCGCUUAACCACACUGCGCACCGUCCUCCAACCCCAUUGGAAAGCUCACAGUCCAUGGGGGAAGAAGAGGAGGGAAUCCCCAUGCGUCCUCUUAGGAUAAUGAACGGGGAUCCUGAGAGAAGAGCAAAUCUAGUAAUAAAGGACAAGCAAAUGCAGUAUUUGACGCCCGACUAUCAUGGUAAGAUGAGCAUUGAAAGUUGCAGCAUGGCGUGGUGGCGGCUACCUGAGAACCUGCCAGGAUAAUUUGUAACCUAGAAGGAACAGCAACAACUUAGUCCAGUGAGCCAGAGCUCUGCAUAUCACUCGACCUCUCACAGUGAGAGUAAUGGGAGCCUCCCAGGUGACCGCCACUCCCAGAGUGUCCCAAGCAGUCCCAGAAGUGUCUCCAGGCCUUAUUCUGAGGUUGUAGGCUCUGCUGAAAGUCUGGUUGGGAGGGUA